GGGUGGGAAGAAAGGAGAUCGCUGAUUGGGCUGGCGAGUGUUUUUACCCGGAUGCAACGGCGAUCUCCUGCCCCGCCGUUGCUGUUUCCGGCACUGGCCUUGACUCAGUUCCUAGUUGCCCAUUGGCAGGUUUGAGACUUUUUGAGGCUCCUUGCACCUGACUGGACUGAAGGGGUGCGCGGAGACCAGGUGGUCCGAUGCCCAUUCCCCGUGGGAAAGAGGAAGCGGCAGGCUCUGGCCCCACUUGCACCCUCGCAUCACAGAAGACGUCAUGCAAAAGACAGACAUGUUCAUACAAAUUAUGUCUUUCGUGUUUCCACCUUUCAGUUCACUAUCUAGAGAUAACAUUCACAAUUUAUUCUUCAAGAAUUAAGUCUGUAACUGUGUAUAAUAUUCUCUUGGUUCUAUUUAUUUCUCUAUUCAUUACUCCAUGUAGUUCUUUCCAACUUUUAUUAAAAUUAGCCCACUUUUCAUUUCUUACAAUGAAGUAGUAUUCCAUCAGAAUCAUAUACCACAAUUUCUUUAGCCAUUCCUCAAUAGAUGGGUAUGCCUUCAAUUUCCAGUUCUUUGCUACCACAAAGAGAGCUGCUAUUAAUAUUUUGAAACAUGUAGAUUCUUUUCCUUUUUUUUAAUCUCCUUGGAAAAUAGAUCCAUUUGGGGGACUAAAGGCAUACAGUUUUAUAACUCCCUUGGUAUAAUUCCAGAGUGCUCUCCAAAAUGGCUAGAUUAAUUCACAGCUCCACCAACAGUGCAUUAGCCUGCUCAUCUUACAUAAGGUGCAGUGUCCCCAUUUUUCCAACUCCUCCAAAGUUUGUCAUUUUGCCCUUUUGUAAUAUUAGCUAGGCUGAUAGGUGAGAGAUAUCUCAAAAUUGUUUUGGUUUGCCUUUCUCUAAUUAGCUCUAAUUAGAGCUUUCUUGCAUAUAACUAUAUGCUUUGAUUUCUUCAUCCAGAAAUUGUUCAUAUCUUUUGCCCAUUUAUCAACUGUGGAGUUUAUUCUUUUAUUUUCCAGGUGAUUUACAGAGGUAAUAUAACUAAAGAGUAAUUCUGAUGAAAGGAUAGCAUAAGCAAAAGCACAGAAGGAGGAAAGUGUAAAAGAAGGGGACAUGAAGUAGACUAAUUUGGUAGGAGAAUAGGUGUUGAUGAGAGGUAGAAAAUAAAGCUAGAAAGGUAAAUGGAAGCCACAUGUUAAAGGCCUCAAAAGCAGACUCAGAAAUAUAAACUUUAAUUCUUUUAAUUUUUAAUUAUGUAAGAGUGUUAAUUUAACAAACUUUUAUCAAGAUCCUAAUUGUACUACACACUAGUGAUACAAAAACAUAUAUGACUAAAAGCCUGUUUUUAAGGAGCCCAUACUCAAAUGGUAGGAAAAGACAUAUAAACAAGUAAUGGAAACACAAGGAAACAUAAGAUAUAGGCAAUGUCUGUAUCUAUGAAAAAACACUGAAAUGCAAAAGAUCACAUGGGGAAAGGCACAAAAAUAGAAGAAGAAAUUAGAAUACAAUAGCAAGUAGUCCAGUUUUAUUGGAACUUAGUGUACAUGAGGAUGUAGGUUAAAUAUAGCAAAAGAUGUAAAUUAUAGCUUGACUUAUAGCAUCACUACAGAAAUAUUCAUAGCAGCUUUAUUCAUAACAAACAUGGAACAUAUAUGUGUCCAAUUACAUUAUAGUCUGUGUGCAUAAUGGAAUAUCAUUGCACCGUAAGGAAUGAGAAGUAUGAGAAAACAAAGUGAUACAGAAUGAAGAAAGCAGAAUCAAAAUAAUACACACACUGAUUGUAAUUAUGUGAUGAUAACAUGUAAAUCUUGAAAUCUCUCAGACUUGUGAAUGUUAAAAAUUCCCCCAUCAGGGAAUUCUUAAUUGGAACAAAUUCCCUACUGAGAAACAUUCCCCAUUUUGAUGUGAGAACUCGCCAGGAUCAGAAAUGGGAGGACCUCUACUCCAAUCGUACUUAAGACUGCUUUAGGGGAGAAAACUCCUUGCUAUGGGAGGACCCCUACUCUACCAGUACUUAAGACUGCUUUAGUAGAGAAAACUCCUUGCUAAACAAUGAAAGUACUUGGACCCAUGCUUAUAAUAAGGCAAGGAGUUCUUUGAGCCAGGCCUGUUUUUAGAAUUGAUACAAUGGGAUGCUAGGUACCUAAAAGGGUCGGGCAAGUUUUCUCUUGAUGAGAUUAGUUGACUCAGCUGUGUUUUCUCUCAUUCAGACUUACUGAGGAUCUUGGUCAACACAGCAGCAUUUUUUCUGAUUCAGACUUACUGAGGAGAUUGGUCGACUUAGCAGGAAUUUAGAUGGGCAGUCCUUUGGAAAGCGUCUACAGUGAUUGGUAGAUUUAGGGACUUAGGGGAGGUGACAUGGGAGAAAAACCCCUAUAUAAGAAAAAGCAGAAACUCUUGAGGAGAUAUCCUUUUGGAAAAAUCCUUUUGGAGGAUCUCUGAUGAGGAUCGCUUGGGAAGAAUCUCUUGAGAGAGGCUCUGGAGAAGGGAAGCUCUUGGAGGACAAUCUCUAAGGAGGUCUCGCUGGAGCUCCUCUAAGGGGACUCUGUUCCUCUGGAGGCUCUGGAGAGAGGCCCUUUGGAACAGUAUCUGGCUGGAAGGCUCUCUGGUGAAGUCAGCUGAGAUGGAGCUGGCCUGGUGUUACUAGAAUCCUUGUUUAGUCAGACCUUGUGGUGAGUGUAAAAAAACUGACUGAUUUCUCUCUUAAGACUCAGGUCUAGGCCAUAUUGGCUUGAGGCCCUUCAUACUUAUUCCUUUCUUACUCUUUCUCUCUUUCUCUAAUUCCUCAUUAUAUUAUUAAUUAAAAAUCUCUAUAAAACCCAGUUGACUUGGGUAUUUGAAUAAUUGGGAAUAUUUCCCUGGCGACCACCUUAUAUUUGAUUUAAAACCAAGACACUGUAGUGAAACAUAUUUUCUGUGGUCAAAUUUACUCACCCUCUCUUAUAUCUAUCACAAUUUAUAUCUUCCACCAUUUUAACUCACCACAGUUUAAGACCUCAACCAUUUUAAAUCUCACAAACAUUAGGAAAAAUAUACUAAAGGUAGUAUUCAAAAGUAAGUAUUUUUUAAGUAUAAGUUUUAGAGUUUGUAGAAUUAUUUUUAUCCUCAUUUGUGUAUUUGAAGGUUUUUGUUGAUGUUAUAUCUGCUAAGCUUAAAAUACAAUUUUUAAAAUAAUAAAAAGGUCAUUCUAAGGUCAUGAGCUAGGAUAAUAGGAGGAUCAAAAUUAAGAGGUUUGAGAGGACACUUUUUAUUGUUUUUAUUUUUAAUUUUUAAUUUAUUUUUUUUCCUUCUAAAAAUUAUUUUAUUUGGUCAUUUCCAAACAUUAUUCAUUGGAAACAAAGAUCAUUUUCUUUUCCUCCCCCCACACCACCACCACCUCUCCCAUAGCCGAAGUGCGAUUCCACUGGGUAUCACAUGUGUUCUUGAUUCAAACCCAUUUCCAUGUUGUUGGUAUUUGCAUUAGAGUGUUCAUUUAGAGUCUCUCCUCAGUCAUAUCCCCUCAACCCCUGUAGUCAAACAGUUGCUUUUCCUCAGUGUUUUUACUCCCUCAGUUUAUCCUCUGCUUGUGGAUAGUGUUUUUUAGAUCCCUGCAGAUUGUUCAGGGACAUUGCAUUGACACUAAUGGAGAAGUCCAUUAUGUUCGAUUGUACCACAGUGUAUCAGUCUCUGUGUACAAUGUUUUCCUGGUUCUGUUCCUUUUGCUCUGCAUCACUUCCUGGAGGUUGCUCCAGUCUCCAUGGAAUUCCUCCACUUUAUUAUUCCUUUUAGCACAAUAGUAUUCCAUCACCAACAAAUUCCACAAUUUGUUCAGCCAUUCCCCAAUUGAAGGGCAUCCCCUUGUUUUCCAAUUUUUGGCCACCACAAAGAGUGCAGCUAUGAAUAUUUUUGUACAAGUCUUUUUCCUUAUUAUCUCUUUGGGGUACAAACCCAGCAGUGCUAUGGCUGGAUCAAAGGGCAGACAGUCUUUUAUCGAGAAGGGCAGUUUUUAGAAGGAUGCCAAGUUCAAUUUCAGAGGUACUGAAUUUGAGAUAAUAGCAGGAGAUUCAGGUGGAAUUGGAAAUAUAACACUUGAGAUCUCAGGAAACAGUUGGAAAUGGAAUGGAGAUUUGAAAGUCAUCAGCAUUAAGGAAAUCAUUAAAAUCAUGUAGUGAAAGUAACUCUGUAGAGAAAGAACCAAGGAUGAGGAGACAGAAGGAGCUUUCAUUGAGAUAACCCCUUACCACUCUAAGACAAGGGUAAGAAAGGAAAGAAAGAAUAUUGGGGAAAAGACUUGGAUUUAGUAAGGAGGUCAUUAGUGACCUUUGAGAGAGAUGUUCUGGUAGAAUGGUAGGAAUAGAAGCUAGAUUAAGGGUUUGAGGAGCAAGUAGAUAAUGAGGAAAGGCAGCAAGGCCACUUUUUAUAAAAGAUUAGCAAUGCAUGUGAAGACAAUACAGUAGCUUGUAGAAAUGGCAUAGUCAAGGGAAAGAUUUAGUUUAUUUCCAAAUAAAGGAGAUUAGAAUAUAUUGGUAGACUGAAAAGGAGCAAUAGUAAGAAAAGAAAGAUUGAAAAUGCAGCAGAAUAUGCUCUGCUCAUUGGGUGAGCUUGCUUUUUUUAAUUCUGAGAGAAAAGUAUUCAUAUAUCAAAAAGGGAUUUUUUUAAACCCUUACCUUCUGCCUUAAAAUCAUUACUGUGUAUUGGUUCCAAAGCAAAAGAUUGGUAAGGGCUAGGCAAUGGGGCUUAAGUGACUUGCCCAGGGUCACACAGCUAGGAAGUGUCUGAGUCUACAUUUGAAUUUAGGGCCUCCCAUCUCUAGAUCUCACUCUCAAUCCACUAAUCCAUCCAGCUUCCCCCUCAAAAAGGGGGCACAUAGACCUUAAUACCUUAAAAUUUCUUUCAGGGGUGGAGAAAGAAUGACUGGAAUCAACUUCCAGAUGUAUUUGAGUACUUGGAAGGGGCUAAAUUCUUACAUUCUAAUAGCAAAAGAAGUGACAAACAAUCCUUCUAAAUUCCACUGUCUAUAAGAGAGUAAAGAAAGACAAAUGAAGAGCCUAAUCAUGGUUCUGUUCUGUUUUGCUCAUUUUCAAAGAGGAAUAAAAAGGGAAGGAAAAGGAUACACUAGGGAAGAAAUCAGUAGUAAAAGAAAGGAACUUACUAUUACUCAUAAUUGGAAUGCACCAAAAAAUAAUACAUAAUGGAGUCAUUUGCCACAGGGUUAUGUGGAAAGCCCAAGUUUAUUUGAGCAAAUUUUGAGCCAAGACACAGAUAAUAUAGCAGUUAAAAAUAGCAAAUUAAUCAAAUAUGUAGAUGAUCUACUCUUGGCUUCAACAGACACAGAAACAUGUCAAGAAGAUAGUAAACACCUUCUUUUGGAAUUGCACAAAAGAGGACAUAAAAUCUAGAAGGAUACGGUUCAAUGCUGUCUCCCUAAAGUAGAAUAUUUGGGAUUCAUCCUGACUGCGGGUACUUGUUAUAUUUCUCCAAAACGAAUUGAGAAUAUUCAAAAUUUGAGCCCUCCUACUACUAAGAAACAGUUGAGAGCGAUUUUAGGAGCAACAGGGUUUUGCAGACAAUGGAUUCCCUGCUAUGGGGAAAUUACUAAACCCCUUAUAGCACUAACAAAGGAUUCGGUUCCUGAAUCUCCUGCUUCUAACCAACCCACCCCUUCCCCUGCCCCCUUGGCCUCAGAAAAUCCUACUCAUGCUUCCAAUCCUAUAACCUCCCAUCUAAGUUCACACCCUACCCAUGCUUCUAUCCUAUACUCUCCACUCUGAAUUCACAACCUGCCCAUGUUUCCAAUCCCACACCCUCCACUCUGAGUUCACAACCUGCCCAUGCUUCCAACCCUACCACACCUUCCACUCUUAAGUUCACACCCCACCCAUGCUUCCAAUCCUAAUGCCUCCACUUCACACCCUACUCAUUCCUCCAACCCUAACACCUCUGUAUCUUUUCUCCCAGCCAAUGACCCUUCUUCCUCUGCCCCUCCUUCCCACCCUGCCCAGUUCAAUUCCCAGAUCCUUCCUACCUCUGAUUUUUCUGGCACAACAACGGACCCUCUCCUCAGUGUGCCCAACUCUUCUCUUUCUCAUACCUACCCCAUUGAGAAUGGAUUAAGAAGGCUAGAAAGAGAAACAGGAGUACCAAAUAAUUCAGAUAGGUUAUUUCCUUUAAGGGAAGUACCCACUUUUAAUAAAAAUGGAAACUUGGUAUCUAUAAGACAUCAUACACCUUUUAACCCUGAAGAUUUAAAUAAAUUUAAGGAAGAUCUUCCAUCAUUUGAGAAAGAACCAAUAUUAAUUAUAAAAAGAUUAGAGAACAUAUUCAGAACUUUUGAUCCCACUUGGAUGGAUGUUGAGAAUUUGUUAGAGACAUUUUUAACAAAAAGGGAAAAAAUAUCUCUGUCUAAUCAAAAAUGAGGUAGAAGCAUGUUGCUAAAGCAUAGAACACAAGCAUUCUCAGAUCAGAGAAUUACAAGGUAUGAAAUAACUUGUUAAAUAGUGAAAACAUUACCUUGAAACGUUAUACUAACCCUGCCACCUUGCUUCCAGAUUUACCAACUUCAGGAGAACCAUUACACAAUUGUGAAACAUUAGUGUCCAUGGCAGAAAAGCCUCGAGAUAAUCUCUUGGACACUCCCUUAGACAAUGCAGAUCUGAUCUUAUUUACUGAUGGUUCCUCUUUUAUGAGGGUUGGCAUACGCUACACUGGAGCUGCCUUAGUCUCAGAAUUUGCCAUUGAGUGGUCAGCUUCACUACCUUCUAACAUUAGCACUCAAGGAGCAGAACUCAUAGCUCUGAAGCACUCUUGUAUAAUUGCCAAGGCUAAAAAGGCAAUGAUUUAUACGGAUUCUAGAUAUGUUUUUGGCAUUUGUCACUCAGUCGGAAUGCUAUGGCUCCAGAGAGGAUUUUUAACCUCAGCUGGAAAAUCUAUAGCUAAUACAUAAAUUAUUAAUGAAGUUCUUUCUGCUCUCCAGUUUCCUGAAGCCCUAGCUGUAGUUCACUGCUCUGCCCAUACAGGUGGAACUUACUCUGUCUCUAGAGGAAAUGAUCGAGCAGAUGACACUGCAAAGCUAGCAGCCAUAGAAGGACAUGAAUUAAUUUUAACAUUAACAACCACUGAUGAUUUAAAUUUAUCACUUUCCUACAAUGAAAAGGAAGUGGAAAAAUGCAAACAAAAAUUCAAAGCAAAACAGAUCAAUGGAGUAUGGGUGUCAUCUGAAGGAAAACCCCUGCUCCCUAGAAGUUUCUUUCACCAAAUUUGCCAAUCUAUUCAUAAAAAUGGUCAUUUUGGCACCCAGGGCAUCAUGGACUCUUUCAAGAGAGUAUGGAUAGCCCCUGGUAUAACUACUAUAGCCUCUAAAGUGUGUUCAGCCUGCUCUACGUGUCAAGCAUAUUAACCAACAUGCAUUUCGUUGAAAAGCCUUUGGUGGGCGUCUUCUGGCUUACACACCUUUUGAACAUCUACAGAUAGAUUUCAUAACAAUGCCAAAGGCUGGACAUUACAAAUUUUGUCUAGUCAUAGUAGAUCAACUAACCAGAUGUCUGGAAGCAUUUCCUGCGACCCGAGCUACAGCGGAUUUUGUUGCUAAGACACUUUUAAAAGAAAGUAUUCCUCGCUUUGGACUGCCAGCAUUCAGAUAGAGGAAGUCAUUUUACUGAUUCUGUCCUAAAUCAGAUAUAUUCUUGCUUGGGGAUAUCUCCCAAAUUUCAUGUUCCAUAUCAUCCCCCGAGCUCAGGCCAAGUAGAGAGGAUGAACAAAGAACUUAAAACGAUUAUUGGAAAAUUAUACACUGAGACACAUUUAAAAUGGCCUGAAAUUCUCCCUCUGGCCCUAUUUUAUCUUAGAAGCAGGCCUAGAGGAGACUUACAUAUUUCACCAUUUGAGAUGCUUUUUGGACAUCCACCUAUACAGGCUAAGACUUUCUCCCUGGCAUAUACAUCACCAUUUGGGGGAGAUACUACUAUUGCUUCCUAUAUACAGGAAUUACAGCACAAACUAUGUGAACUUCAUGAAUCCGGAGCUACAAUACAAGCCAGACCACUAGAUUUUUCUCUUCAUGACCUGAACCCAGGAGACAAAGUGUAUAUUAAGAAUUUCAAGCACACUGGAGCAACUCAGCCUUCGUAGGAAGGACCAUCCCAAAUAUUGUUAACUACUCUAACAUCUAUAAAGGUUGGAGAAAAGGACUCUUGGAUUCACUGCUCACAUGUGAAGAGAACAUCUGUUGAGACUGAUUGACUGUAUCCUAUUAUAUGCAUUGGAGAUAAUAAUCUAUUAACAAAUGGAUGCUGUUUUUCAAAGACACAUUGAAUUACUAAUCUUUUCCUCCCUAUUUUUAUUAUUGCUUUUCUUUUAUUUUGAUAAGAAUAUUUGAUUUUUUCUUUAUUUUUCUUAUUUCUUAUACUAAAGGUACGUAUAAUUAAUAUUUUUUCUGCAGUAAUAGAAGUUUAAUACAUAUAUAUACUUGCUAUAAUAUCAAUGCAUACCCAAAAGCUUUAAACUAUGAGAACCUGCCAUUUAUUAAUAAAAUGUUAUGGGACUAUGAUUAAUGUUUAUGUAUGAUUCCAGGAAAUGGGAUAAAAACAAGGAGCACACAGGAAAUACUAAUGUGAAACUCAAGGUUGCGACACUUGCCAUAUGUUAAGUCGUAGGAAUUCCUUGUAUCUACACUCUUUGUGAAGUACUCAUACAAGUACCAAAAUUUGACUAUCAUGCUGGCUCCCUACAUCCCUGAGAAUGUUGAAAAAGUCAGACGAAGGAAUGAUGCUUCCCUAUCAAAAUAGAAUUCUAAUUCUUUUCCUUCUUAUAUUAUGGCAACUUCCUAUAGUCUUGGCUGCAAAUGGGUAAGUGAAAUAUUACUGCAUUCUGUCCUACAGACUUGUGGGAUAGAAAUUACUUUAAACUGGACAUAUACAAGGGCCUAUUUUGAAUUUUUUUUUCCUUAUGUUUUUGGUUGUGUUUUUCUCUUCUUUUGAUAAUUGACUCAUACAUCCCCAUAACUCAACAUUGCAUCCUGAGCUGAACUGGAUAUUUUUUAACACCUACUGCAGGGGGGGGGGGUAUUUUAAUUUAAAAUCCAAGGUUUUUUAUUUUUUGUUUGAGAUUGUAUUUUUAUAAAAAUCAAGGAUUUUUAUUUUGUUCAAGAAAAGAUCUUCAAGGAAGAAGCUUGCUAACUCCUAAAUCCAGAGAAUGAACUGUUGCAGAAAGAUGCCAGAAAACCCACACUACAUCAAGAAGAUCGUGAAUGAACUUUGGAUAUGGUUGAUUGAACUGAAGUUUGAUUGAACAUUUAUUGUAAAUGUACACAUUUAUGCCAAAAGGGACUGCCCCUAAUUUGACUUUCUGUCAAUGCACCUAGCAAAACAUUGGUUUUGCUUUCUUUCUUUUCUAUUCUUCCCUCACUAUUAUAAUUUCCUCUUAGAAAAUUGAAUAUUGUAUACAUGUGUAGUUAGAAGUGCGUUUAGGACUAUAAGAUGAUUAUGUUAAAUGAUCAUUGGGGAGACGAGUCUCCCCAAUGAUCAUCAGGGGGGAUUGUGAAUCUUAAAAUUUCUCAGACUUGUGAAUGUUAAAAAUUCUCAGACUCUACCUUAGAACAUUUGGUUAAUAAGACCAUUCCCCAUUUUAAAACAAUGAAGGGACUUUGAUCAGGAAUGUGAGAACUCUAAAAUUACUGCACCCAUACUUAGGCAUACUUUAGGGGAAGAUAAUUCCUUAUUGAACAAUGGAAAAGUACUUAACUCAUACUUAUAGGGAGGCAAAAGCCCUUAAGCUAAGUCUAUUUUUAGGUCUAAUAAAAAGGUGCUAAGUACCUAUGAAAGUCAAAUUAAUCACUAAAAGGUCAGGCAACUUGCAAACUUGCAAGGGACAAGCUUAACAAAAGAGGUGUGAAGUUUUAGUCUACCCAGAGAAGUUGAGAACUAAAGAAGAUGUGAAUUUCCUUUGGAAAAUGUCUACUGUAAUUGGUAGAUGUGAAAACUUAGGGGAGGUGACAUGGGAGAAAAUUCUCUUUAAAAAGAGGUCAGAAAGGCCUCUGAGGGGUUCAGCUUGCCAAAGCUGCAUUGUAGGGCUCAGUGGCUGAACUUAGUGGAGCUGAGGAGCUAAACUGGAGGGUCUCUCUGAACAUUAGAAUCUUGCUUGGGACAAAUCUUGCGGUGAGUGGAUUAAAGACUGACUGGUCUCUCUUAAGGCUCAGGCCUAGGCCCCUCAUACAUUAUUUCCUCUUACUCUCUCCCUUUCAUUAAUUCCUUAAUUUGUAUUAAGUAAAAUCUCCAUAAAACCCAGCUGACUUGGGUAUUUUUAAUAUUUGGGAAUUUUCCCAUGGGGACCACUUUAUUUUUAAUAUAAAAUCAAGACACUGCCUUGAAACCAUAUUUUCGCAGUCACAGUUUAAGGCAACCACUCUUUUAUCUGUAACAAUAGAGAUGAAAGUGAGAGAAGAGAACAUCUCAUGAACCUCACUUCUAUUGGAACUAGACAAAGGAAGAUUAAGGGCAGCAAGAUGGUACAGUGGAUAAAAGCACCAGGCCUACAUACAGGAAAAUGAAUCAAAAUUUGGCCUCAGCCACUAACUGAGUGACCCUGGGCAAAUCACUUAACCUUAUUUGCCUUUGCUUUCUCAUCUAUCAAGUGAGCUGGAAGAGGAAAUGGCAAACCACUCCAUUAUCUUUGCCAAGAAAAUCCCAGAUGGAGUCACAAAGAGUUGGACAUGCCUGGAACAAUUGAACAACAAGGACAACAAAGGAGGGUUAAACACACACCUUCAGUUUAUUAUAGAAAGAGGAAGAGAUGGAAGGAGGUUUCUAAGAUGAAAGUAGAGUGUGAAUGAAGUGAAUUUUCCCAUUAAAUGAGAGAAUAACAGGAUGGAUUUCAAAGCAGAAUUGAAAAAUAUUUAGUAUAAAAGAAACACUUUGAACAUAAAA
Monodelphis domestica (gray short-tailed opossum) is the source of this 10888-nucleotide non-coding RNA. The record is from RefSeq and is a predicted model, not a curated record. Lineage: Eukaryota; Metazoa; Chordata; Mammalia; Didelphimorphia; Didelphidae.